This 730-nucleotide long non-coding RNA is filed under the name Androctonus crassicauda. The record is from RNAcentral. Lineage: Eukaryota; Metazoa; Arthropoda; Arachnida; Scorpiones; Buthidae.
AGGAAUUGUAAUUGAAAAACAAUUCCUUCCAGUUGUUCUUUUUUUUUUUUUUUUUAAUAAAUCUCAAUAAUUCUUACGAGAAGCAUAAUACUGCCACGAGCUUUCUCCUAUAGCCGAAAUUAAAAUUUCCUCCAUUUUACUUUAUAAAAAUGCUUCUUCCUGAUUAGUCAAAGUAGAACAAUGAAGAAUAAAUCUUGAAUCUUAGUCAAGAUCAGAACAACUAAUGACAAUGACAGAGACUGAAUCUUUGGUUAUUGUCGUUGGCACUGUGAAAGGAGCUUAAGAAUGAUAUUUUUUGAUUGUAUUUGUUUUUUUUUAUUCGUGAUAAAGCAUUUAAUAGCACAUAAUGUUCAUAGUUUAACCGUUAUGAUUAUUGUUUUCUUACAAAAAAUACUUCACAAAAUUAUUAAACGAUGGCAGGUUUGGCAAAAUUUUAUUGAGGGACAUUUUAUUUUUAGUUUUUAUGACUUAUUAAAUAGUAAGACUAUUCCAGGAUCCAUCACAGUCUGCUAACAAUAUGAUUGGAUCAGCCAGCAGAUGGGAAUCAAUGGGCUGGGCCUAAUUUCUCUUAAAAAACAGUAAGGAACCUGAAAUUGAACUAGGAUCCUCCAGUUGUAAACAACAGCUUUACACAAAAUAUAUAGAGAUGGAAGUAUACAAUGUAAAAAAUGUAAAAACAACAAGCACUAAACGGCAGUUGAGCAAAUCAAUAAACAAUUUUAUUCACCAC